GACCUAGUAGCUCAGUCGGUAGAGCACCUGACUUUUAAUCAGGGUGUCCCGCGUUCGAGUCGCGGCUGGGUCACCA
This 76-nucleotide transfer RNA is filed under the name Sporotomaculum syntrophicum. RNAcentral describes it as "tRNA-Lys". It matches the Rfam family "tRNA". From Rfam's summary of the family: Transfer RNA (tRNA) molecules are approximately 80 nucleotides in length. Their secondary structure includes four short double-helical elements and three loops (D, anti-codon, and T loops). Further hydrogen bonds mediate the characteristic L-shaped molecular structure. tRNAs have two regions of fundamental functional importance: the anti-codon, which is responsible for specific mRNA codon recognition, and the 3' end, to which the tRNAs corresponding amino acid is attached (by aminoacyl-tRNA synthetases). tRNAs cope with the degeneracy of the genetic code in two manners: having more than one tRNA (with a specific anti-codon) for a particular amino acid; and 'wobble' base-pairing, i.e. permitting non-standard base-pairing at the 3rd anti-codon position. The record is from RNAcentral. Lineage: Bacteria; Bacillati; Bacillota; Clostridia; Eubacteriales; Desulfallaceae.